CCUACGGGUGGCAGCAGUGAGGAAUAUUGGUCAAUGGACGAGAGUCUGAACCAGCCAAGUAGCGUGAGGGAUGACUGCCCUAUGGGUUGUAAACUUCUUUUAUAUGGGAAUAAAAUGUUCCACGUGUGGGAUUUUGUAUGUACCAUAUGAAUAAGGAUCGGCUAACUCCGUGCCAGCAGCCGCGGUAAUACGGAGGAUCCGAGCGUUAUCCGGAUUUAUUGGGUUUAAAGGGAGCGUAGGUGGAUUGUUAAGUCAGUUGUGAAAGUUUGCGGCUCAACCGUAAAAUUGCAGUUGAAACUGGCAGUCUUGAGUACAGUAGAGGUGGGCGGAAUGCGUGGUGUAGCGGUGAAAUGCUUAGAUAUCACGAAGAACUCCGAUUGCGAAGGCAGUUCACUGGACUGCAACUGACACUGAGGCUCGAAAGUGUGGGUAUCAAACAGGAUUAGAUACCCGUGUAGUC
This 460-nucleotide ribosomal RNA is filed under the name uncultured bacterium. RNAcentral's name for it is "partial 16S ribosomal RNA". It matches the Rfam family "Bacterial small subunit ribosomal RNA", at positions 338 to 795 of the family's 1533-position model. The record is from RNAcentral.